Molecule: ribosomal RNA, 497 nt
Filed under: uncultured bacterium
Lineage: Bacteria
Description: partial 16S ribosomal RNA
Rfam family: Bacterial small subunit ribosomal RNA
Source: RNAcentral
GACGAACGCUGGCGGCGUGCCUAAUACAUGCAAGUUGAGCGCUGAAGGUUGGUACUUGUACCGACUGGAUGAGCAGCGAACGGGUGAGUAACGCGUGGGGAAUCUGCCUUUGAGCGGGGGACAACAUUUGGAAACGAAUGCUAAUACCGCAUAAAAACUUUAAACACAAGUUUUAAGUUUGAAAGAUGCAAUUGCAUCACUCAAAGAUGAUCCCGCGCUGUAUUAGCUAGUUGGUGAGGUAAAGGCUCACCAAGGCGAUGAUACAUAGCCGACCUGAGAGGGUGAUCGGCCACAUUGGGACUGAGACACGGCCCAAACUCCUACGGGAGGCAGCAGUAGGGAAUCUUCGGCAAUGGACGAAAGUCUGACCGAGCAACGCCGCGUGAGUGAAGAAGGGUUUCGGAUCGUAAAACUCUGUUGGUAGAGAAGAACGUUGGUGAGAGUGGAAAGCUCAUCAAGUGACGGUAACUACCCAGAAAGGGACGGCUAACUACGUG